RNAcentral lists this ribosomal RNA (137 nucleotides) under uncultured eukaryote. RNAcentral describes it as "partial 18S ribosomal RNA". It matches the Rfam family "Eukaryotic small subunit ribosomal RNA", at positions 1299 to 1458 of the family's 1831-position model. The record is from RNAcentral.
UGGUGGAGCGAUUUGUCUGGUUAAUUCCGAUAACGAACGAGACUCUAGCCUGCUAAAUAGGUGGCGGGUCCUUACCCGUCCGUCACUCUUCUUAGAGGGACAAGCGGCGUCCAGCCGCAUGACAGUGAGCAAUAACA